GAGUUUGAUCCUGGCUCAGGACGAACGCUGGCGGCGCGCCUAACACAUGCAAGUCGAACGAGCGAGAGAGAGCUUGCUUUCUCAAGCGAGUGGCGAACGGGUGAGUAACGCGUGAGGAACCUGCCUCAAAGAGGGGGACAACAGUUGGAAACGACUGCUAAUACCGCAUAAGCCCACAGCUCGGCAUCGAGCAGAGGGAAAAGGAGCAAUCCGCUUUGAGAUGGCCUCGCGUCCGAUUAGCUGGUUGGUGAGGUAAUGGCCCACCAAGGCGACGAUCGGUAGCCGGACUGAGAGGUUGAACGGCCACAUUGGGACUGAGACACGGCCCAGACUCCUACGGGAGGCAGCAGUGGGGAAUAUUGCACAAUGGGGGAAACCCUGAUGCAGCGACGCCGCGUGGAGGAAGAAGGUCUUCGGAUUGUAAACUCCUGUUGUUGAGGAAGAUAAUGACGGUACUCAACAAGGAAGUGACGGCUAACUACGUGCCAGCAGCCGCGGUAAAACGUAGGUCACAAGCGUUGUCCGGAAUUACUGGGUGUAAAGGGAGCGCAGGCGGGAAGACAAGUUGGAAGUGAAAUCUAUGGGCUCAACCCAUAAACUGCUUUCAAAACUGUUUUUCUUGAGUAGUGCAGAGGUAGGCGGAAUUCCCGGUGUAGCGGUGGAAUGCGUAGAUAUCGGGAGGAACACCAGUGGCGAAGGCGGCCUACUGGGCACCAACUGACGCUGAGGCUCGAAAGUGUGGGUAGCAAACAGGAUUAGAUGCCCUGGUAGUCCACACCGUAAACGAUGAUUACUAGGUGUUGGAGGAUUGACCCCUUCAGUGCCGCAGUUAACACAAUAAGUAAUCCACCUGGGGAGUACGACCGCAAGGUUGAAACUCAAAGGAAUUGACGGGGGCCCGCACAAGCAGUGGAGUAUGUGGUUUAAUUCGACGCAACGCGAAGAACCUUACCAAGUCUUGACAUCCCUUGACGAUGCUGGAAACAGUAUUUCUCUUCGGAGCAAGGAGACAGGUGGUGCAUGGUUGUCGUCAGCUCGUGUCGUGAGAUGUUGGGUUAAGUCCCGCAACGAGCGCAACCCUUACUGUCAGUUACUACGCAAGAGGACUCUGGCAGGACUGCCGUUGACAAAACGGAGGAAGGUGGGGAUGACGUCAAAUCAUCAUGCCCUUUAUGACUUGGGCUACACACGUACUACAAUGGCGUUAAACAAAGAGAAGCAAGACCGCGAGGUGGAGCAAAACUCAGAAACAACGUCCCAGUUCGGACUGCAGGCUGCAACUCGCCUGCACGAAGUCGGAAUUGCUAGUAAUCGUGGAUCAGCAUGCCACGGUGAAUACGUUCCCGGGCCUUGUACACACCGCCCGUC
This 1368-nucleotide ribosomal RNA is filed under the name uncultured bacterium. RNAcentral's name for it is "bacterial SSU rRNA". It matches the Rfam family "Bacterial small subunit ribosomal RNA". The record is from RNAcentral.